RNAcentral lists this ribosomal RNA (465 nucleotides) under Vreelandella stevensii. RNAcentral's name for it is "partial 16S ribosomal RNA". It matches the Rfam family "Bacterial small subunit ribosomal RNA", at positions 338 to 795 of the family's 1533-position model. Lineage: Bacteria; Pseudomonadati; Pseudomonadota; Gammaproteobacteria; Oceanospirillales; Halomonadaceae. The record is from RNAcentral.
CCUACGGGCGGCUGCAGUGGGGAAUAUUGGACAAUGGGGGGAACCCUGAUCCAGCCAUGCCGCGUGUGUGAAGAAGGCCCUCGGGUUGUAAAGCACUUUCAGUGAGGAAGAACGCCUGGUGGUUAAUACCCAUCAGGAAAGACAUCACUCACAGAAGAAGCACCGGCUAACUCCGUGCCAGCAGCCGCGGUAAUACGGAGGGUGCGAGCGUUAAUCGGAAUUACUGGGCGUAAAGCGCGCGUAGGUGGCUUGAUAAGCCGGUUGUGAAAGCCCCGGGCUCAACCUGGGAACGGCAUCCGGAACUGUCAAGCUAGAGUGCAGGAGAGGAAGGUAGAAUUCCCGGUGUAGCGGUGAACUGCGUAGAGAUCGGGAGGAAUACCAGUGGCGAAGGCGGCCUUCUGGACUGACACUGACACUGAGGUGCGAAAGCGUGGGUAGCAAACAGGAUUAGAUACCCCUGUAGUC